AGGAUAGUGGUGUAACGGGAACACACUGGACCGUGACUCCGGAGUUAAGGGUUCAAAUCCCUUCUAUCCUC
RNAcentral lists this transfer RNA (71 nucleotides) under Candidatus Freyrarchaeum guaymasense. RNAcentral's name for it is "tRNA-His". It matches the Rfam family "tRNA". Rfam says of the family: Transfer RNA (tRNA) molecules are approximately 80 nucleotides in length. Their secondary structure includes four short double-helical elements and three loops (D, anti-codon, and T loops). Further hydrogen bonds mediate the characteristic L-shaped molecular structure. tRNAs have two regions of fundamental functional importance: the anti-codon, which is responsible for specific mRNA codon recognition, and the 3' end, to which the tRNAs corresponding amino acid is attached (by aminoacyl-tRNA synthetases). tRNAs cope with the degeneracy of the genetic code in two manners: having more than one tRNA (with a specific anti-codon) for a particular amino acid; and 'wobble' base-pairing, i.e. permitting non-standard base-pairing at the 3rd anti-codon position. Lineage: Archaea; Promethearchaeati; Candidatus Freyarchaeota; Candidatus Freyrarchaeia; Candidatus Freyrarchaeales; Candidatus Freyrarchaeaceae. The record is from RNAcentral.